This 30-nucleotide non-coding RNA is filed under the name Mus musculus (house mouse). Lineage: Eukaryota; Metazoa; Chordata; Mammalia; Rodentia; Muridae. The record is from RNAcentral.
UAGCAGCAGUAGACUAAAGCUUUCUCCUGA